CGGUAAAGAGCGGCGGACGGGUGAGUAACGCGUGGGUAACCUACCCUGUACACACGGAUAACAUACCGAAAGGUAUGCUAAUACGGGAUAAUAUACUUGAGAGGCAUCUCUUGAAUAUCAAAGGUGAGCCAGUACAGGAUGGACCCGCGUCUGAUUAGCUAGUUGGUAAGGUAACGGCUUACCAAGGCGACGAUCAGUAGCCGACCUGAGAGGGUGAUCGGCCACAUUGGAACUGAGACACGGUCCAAACUCCUACGGGAGGCAGCAGUGGGGAAUAUUGCACAAUGGGCGAAAGCCUGAUGCAGCAACGCCGCGUGAGUGAUGAAGGCCUUCGGGUCGUAAAACUCUGUCCUCAAGGAAGAUAAUGACGGUACUUGAGGAGGAAGCCCCGGCUAACUACGUGCCAGCAGCCGCGGUAAUACGUAGGGGGCUAGCGUUAUCCGGAUUUACUGGGCGUAAAGGGUGCGUAGGCGGUCUUUCAAGUCAGGAGUGAAAGGCUACGGCUCAACCGUAGUAAGCUCUUGAAACUGGGAGACUUGAGUGCAGGAGAGGAGAGUGGAAUUCCUAGUGUAGCGGUGAAAUGCGUAG
RNAcentral lists this ribosomal RNA (588 nucleotides) under uncultured bacterium. RNAcentral's name for it is "bacterial SSU rRNA". It matches the Rfam family "Bacterial small subunit ribosomal RNA", at positions 86 to 693 of the family's 1533-position model. The record is from RNAcentral.